UACGUAGGGGGCAAGCGUUGUCCGGAUUUAUUGGGCGUAAAGAGCUCGUAGGCGGUCUGUUGCGUCGGCUGUGAAAACCCGGGGCUCAACCCCGGGCCUGCAGCCGAUACGGGCAGACUAGAGUUCGGCAGGGGAGACUGGAAUUCCUGGUGUAGCGGUGAAAUGCGCAGAUAUCAGGAGGAACACCGGUGGCGAAGGCGGGUCUCUGGGCCGAUACUGACGCUGAGGCACGAAGGCCAGGGGAGCAAACGGG
This 253-nucleotide ribosomal RNA is filed under the name uncultured bacterium. RNAcentral's name for it is "partial 16S ribosomal RNA". It matches the Rfam family "Bacterial small subunit ribosomal RNA", at positions 524 to 776 of the family's 1533-position model. The record is from RNAcentral.